CCUACGGGUGGCUGCAGUGGGGAAUAUUGGACAAUGGGCGAAAGCCUGAUCCAGCCAUGCCGCGUGUGUGAAGAAGGCCUUCGGGUUGUAAAGCACUUUCAGUGGGGAAGAAAGCCUUGGGGCUAAUACCCUCGAGGAAGGACAUCACCCACAGAAGAAGCACCGGCUAACUCCGUGCCAGCAGCCGCGGUAAUACGGAGGGUGCGAGCGUUAAUCGGAAUUACUGGGCGUAAAGCGCGCGUAGGCGGUCUGAUAAGCCGGUUGUGAAAGCCCCGGGCUCAACCUGGGACGGCAUCCGGAACAGUACAGGGAAAGGCAUGGAGAGGAUGAUGGAAUCGCAUGUGUAGGGAUGAAUUGAGGAGAGACAUGGCUGAAGGGCAGUGGCGAAGGCGACAAUAUGGACUAUAACUGACGCUGAGGCGCGAAAGCGUGGGCAGAAAACAGGAUUAGAGACACCGGAAGUC
RNAcentral lists this ribosomal RNA (464 nucleotides) under Vreelandella stevensii. RNAcentral's name for it is "partial 16S ribosomal RNA". It matches the Rfam family "Bacterial small subunit ribosomal RNA", at positions 338 to 795 of the family's 1533-position model. The record is from RNAcentral. Lineage: Bacteria; Pseudomonadati; Pseudomonadota; Gammaproteobacteria; Oceanospirillales; Halomonadaceae.